UGUUAAAAUUAGAGUCAAU
This 19-nucleotide small nuclear RNA is filed under the name Arabidopsis thaliana (thale cress). Its description in RNAcentral is "snRNA_07655". Lineage: Eukaryota; Viridiplantae; Streptophyta; Magnoliopsida; Brassicales; Brassicaceae. The record is from RNAcentral.